UCUGUGUGGGGAACAUGAGAGCCAGACCAAAGCUCAGAGGAACCCACCUGAACCUCCACCCAGCUCUGUGUCCUUACAGAGUGACACGUCCAAUCAUCGCUACAUUCAUUUUAGAGUCUCUGCUGCAGAGAGGAACCAACCUGAACCUCCACCCAGCUGUGUGUCCCUAAAGAGUGACCGGUCUAGAGCUGCCCCCAUUAGUUUUAAAGUCCAGCCUGUGUCUGAUGC
Molecule: long non-coding RNA, 228 nt
Organism: Oreochromis aureus
Lineage: Eukaryota; Metazoa; Chordata; Actinopteri; Cichliformes; Cichlidae
Exons: 3
Source: RefSeq, a predicted model, not a curated record